UACGAAGGGUGCGAGCGUUAUUCGAAAUUACUGGGCGUAAAGGGUGCGUAGGCGGUAUGUUAAGUUUGUUGUUAAAGACUCCGGCCUAACCGGAGAGCUGCAAUGAAAACUGGCGUGCUAGAGGAUGAGAGAGAGAAGUGGAAUUCCCGGAGUAGCGGUAAAAUGCGUGGAUCUCGGGAGGAACACCAAUGGCGAAAGCAGCUUCUUGGCUCAUUUCUGACGUUGAGGCACGAAAGCGUGGGGAG
This 245-nucleotide ribosomal RNA is filed under the name uncultured Acholeplasma sp. Its description in RNAcentral is "partial 16S ribosomal RNA". It matches the Rfam family "Bacterial small subunit ribosomal RNA", at positions 524 to 768 of the family's 1533-position model. Lineage: Bacteria; Bacillati; Mycoplasmatota; Mollicutes; Acholeplasmatales; Acholeplasmataceae. The record is from RNAcentral.